ACUUAUCCAGUGCCGGCUCUCCCCAUCCGUACUGCUCUUGCUUUUAACUGGAAUAUACUUUGGUUGACCUUUACCCUCAAGCAAUGAAUCUGGGAGAAAUGUAAGAUGUGGCUUUAACUCCUAGUUAGGCUCUACAAGGGGAGUGAGUGAAGUGAAAGCGAAACAGCGGAUCAGCUGACAGCUCAGACUCGGAGCGGAAGCAGUCGGGGGCUACGGUACUAGGGGUUUCUCCUGUCGUGCAGAAUGUCCAGAGUGAUCCUGCUCUUGUGUCUUUCCGGCGCCCAGCUUCUUCAGCCCGGGUGCAGCAGCGCCCAGCAGCCGGAACUCGAAAGCCGAAACGCAACCGCCGCAUACGAGAAGCUUUUUCAGCAGUUUGUUACCAAGUACGGCCGGAGCUAUGCGCUGGGGAGCCCCCAGUUCCUUCAAACAUACCGAGUGUUCCAGGAGAGCAUUCAGAGACAUUACAGCAUGAACCUUAUUUCUUCAAAUUUGUCGAGUGGAAGCAAUUCUGCUAUCUAUGGAAUUAACCAGUUUUCUGAUAUAUCACCUGAAGUGUUCAGAGCAAAAUAUUUGGGUUCGAAACCAAUGCCACUUCCAAACUUCAUGUCAUUACUAAAGGACAGCAAGAAACCAGCAUUACCAGCAAAAUUCGAUUGGCGGGACAAGAACGUUGUUAACCCUGUGCGGAAUCAAGAAUCAUGUGGAGGAUGCUGGGCUUUCAGUGUGGUGGAGAGUAUUGAAUCUGCUCUCGCAAUUAAAAGUGGACAACUAAAGACCCUGAGUGCACAAGAAGUCAUAGAUUGUUCUCACAAAGAUGCUGGCUGUAAUGGUGGAUCGCCAGUCAGUGCCCUGAAGUGGCUAAACCAGAGUAAAGCACGGCUGAUGGAAGAGUCUGUUUAUCCCUUCACUGCAAAGACUGGGAAAUGCCAUUACUUUCCAAAGUCCACAUUUGGUGUUUCAAUCAGGAACUAUAGGGCAUACAGCUUCAGAUACAAUGAGGAGGAACUGAUGCAGAAGCUAUUGGAAUGGGGACCUUUGGUGGCCAUUGUAGAUGCAGUCAGUUGGCAGGAUUAUCUAGGUGGCAUUAUACAGCACCACUGCUCACAUGAAGAACCAAAUCAUGCAGUAGUUAUCACUGGUUAUGACAAAACAGGUGAUAUUCCUUACUGGAUAAUAAGAAAUUCAUGGGGAACCAGCUGGGGAAUUAAUGGCUAUGUAUAUGUCAAAAUGGGAAGAAAUGUUUGUGACAAUUCUACUCUGGGUACUGCAGGGCUACUCCAUCAGUGAGCUGCUCGUUGAUCACAGUAGCUGGAUUGGUGUUGGCCAGGGUGUCGGAGAAGGGGCCGGCCAGGAUAUUGAAGGAGUCAGCUUGGGUUCAGAGGAGCUGAUCUGGCUACAGACUAUGUUGCUGCCUCCUACUCAAAGGCAUCAGAGUUAGUGCAUGAAGGCGUCAUGCAGUAUAAACAUGGGGAUUGUCUUGGAAAUUUCUCUUGUGAUCACAAGAUUCUGUUGGACAGUGAUAAUGUAUUGCUGAUUCAAUUGCAGUAGGAAUUGUGUGAGAAGAAACUCCUUUGACAUCUCUCUGUGGGACAGCCCCUUACCACAAGCUAAUAUGAAUCUGAAAGACUUUGAUUACGCUAGGUAUGCUGAGAAUAGUGAAGCAUUCGGCUUAUCAGAGUAUAGAACUACAAAGGAACCAACCUGACUUUCUUAAAUUGGCAAUGCCUGCUGAGGUCCAUUACCUUUUGAUGCCUUUGGAUCCAGAAGAGAUUCACCUGAAGCUUUUUCAACUCUGUGUUAGUGGCACAGUUUUUCUGCAGCUCCAGAAAAUCAUCAGCUCAUGGUGCUAAUUUUUCUUGUACAUUGCCAUUGAGCAAGCUACCUCCCAAUGGAAUAGCCACAGAAAAUUAAUGUCAAAGUGUCUCGAUAUCAAAUUAGUCAGGCAUUAACAUUUCUGCUUUAUGCAGAAUUUUUGGCUUCACUAACAAGAUUGGCAUUUAGAGUCAUAGAAGAGUACAGCACAGAAAUAGGCCAUUUGGCCCAUCUGGUCCAUAAUGAAUCAUUUAAACUGCCUAUUCCCAUCGAUCUGCACCAGGACCACAGCCCAGCCCUCCAUAUUCCUACUAUCCAUGUACCUAUCCAAACUGAAAUGUUGAAAUUGAGCUCACAUGCACCAAUUGCGCUGGCAGCUCAUUCCACACUCUCACAACUCUGAGCGAAGAAGUUUCCCUUCAUGUUCCCCUUAAAUUUUUCACGUUUCACCCUUAACCCAUGGCCUGUAGUUGUGAUCCCACCCAAGCCAGCUUGUAUUUACCCUAUCUAUACCCCUCAUAAUUUUGUAUACCUCUAUCAAAUCUCCUCUCAAACUUCUACAUUCCAAGGAAUAAAGUCCUAACCUAUUCAAUAUUUCCUUAUAACUCUGCUCCUUCAGACCCAGCAACAUCCUUGUAAAUUUUCUGUGUACUCUUUCAAACUUAUUUACAUCUUUCCUUGUAGGUACGUGACCAAAACUGCACAAAUACUCCAAAUUAAGCCUCAACAAUGUUUUAUACAACUUCAACAUAACCUCCCAUCUCCUGUACUCAUACUUUAAUUUAUGAAUGCCAAUGAUUUAUUGAAUGCUCCCUCCUGGGGAAGUUGGUGGUGAACCACCACGAUUAGAUUGAGGUUUUCAGUAUUCUUCAACUUCUACAUCAGAACACUGUUGAGUUGCUAUUAUUUAUAAUUUUAAUGCUAAAAGUUUCUCACUGAAAAUGAUGAACAGCUAUUCACAGAAUUCAGUUGAGUCUUGUGAUUUCUUUAUGCAAUAAAUGCUAUUGUAGAAGUUUUCAAAACUGCCUUAGUAU
Mobula hypostoma (lesser devil ray) is the source of this 2846-nucleotide RNA transcript. It is a transcript of the gene named cathepsin O, with no coding region annotated. The record is from RefSeq and is a predicted model, not a curated record. The transcript has 9 exons. Lineage: Eukaryota; Metazoa; Chordata; Chondrichthyes; Myliobatiformes; Myliobatidae.